UUUUCAGACCUCAUGCAGGCAGUUACAGAUCUCCUGGAGCACAACUGGUUUCAAGCUUGUUUGUGUAGCUGAAGAUGACCUUGAACUACGGCUUGUCCUGAACUUACUUUCCAUGUACUGGGAUGCCACCGCCUGUAUCGACAGCAGAGCCACACAUCUCGGUGCUGCAGUUAGAAAAUGCGAGAAUUGGAACCUGCGAUGCUAAAGUGCUGAGAUCACCGUCAUAUAUUAUUAAUGAAAAUAAAUAAGAAAUAAAA
Molecule: long non-coding RNA, 257 nt
Organism: Mesocricetus auratus (golden hamster)
Lineage: Eukaryota; Metazoa; Chordata; Mammalia; Rodentia; Cricetidae
Exons: 2
Source: RefSeq, a predicted model, not a curated record